RNAcentral lists this small RNA (321 nucleotides) under Pongo abelii (Sumatran orangutan). RNAcentral describes it as "processed transcript". The record is from RNAcentral. Lineage: Eukaryota; Metazoa; Chordata; Mammalia; Primates; Hominidae.
GGGAAUGAUGUGCGGAUCAUCCUUGGCCAGUUUGACCAGAAUAUGGCAGCAAAAGUGUUCUGUUGUGCAUAUGAGGAGAACAUGUAUGGUAGUAAAUACCAGUGGAUCAUCCCGGGCUGGUACGAGCCUUCUUGGUGGGAGCAGGUGCACACGGAAGCCAACUCAUCCCGCUGCCUCCGGAAGAAUCUGCUUGCUGCCAUGGAGGGCUACAUUGGCGUGGAUUUCGAGCCCCUGAGCUCCAAGCAGAUCAAGACCAUCUCAGGAAAGACUCCACAGCAGUAUGAGAGAGAGUACAACAACAAGCGGUCAGGCGUGGGGCCC